Long non-coding RNA from Pantherophis guttatus, 668 nucleotides. RefSeq lists it as uncharacterized. The record is from RefSeq and is a predicted model, not a curated record. NCBI's taxonomy places the organism in Eukaryota, Metazoa, Chordata, Lepidosauria, Squamata, Colubridae.
GCUGUUCCGUGUGAUCCAGAAUCCUCCAGAAGUGAAUAUUCUGGAACCAGAAGUAAUUCAGGAUGUUCCAGACAUGAUCUGACUCCAAGGAUGGAUGGUCUGGGAUCAAAAUGGGUUUAUUCUGUGUUCCCUGGAAUCUUCUCUUCCUCAAAUGAGGAUUUGUACUUCCCCAACAGUGAAACUUUAACUGACCACCUUGGAUGGGACUUAGAUUCCAGUAGUUAGAGCUCAAUAAUACGCAGAAUCACUUUGAUUAGUACUAUCCAUAAAGAGGCAGAGAAAUUACCUACCCAGAAAGUGUGCUUAAAGAGUGACUGUGUUACAUCUGUCUGGUGGGAAAACCUUCAUGUUUUCAUAAACAGGAGAUAAUUGGUGACAACUUCAAAGAAUUGGACUGACAAGGAGAAGAAUGAGAUCCAUGGUAAACCAACAGAAAGGACCAACUAUAGGAAGUCUCUUGAUCCUCUGGCUUUCUGGUUCAAGGACGAUGGCCUUGGCAAACAUCCUUUCGUGUCUGUGGCCUGUAGAAAGAGGUAGUCGGUUACGGCAUGGGUCUAAUCCAAAAUGUGAAGAGCAGGAAAUGGCAGUUUUCACCUCACUAGUAAAAUAUAGUGAAGCCGAGUUGGAGGAAAGUUGCUUCAACAUAUUAAACUUAUUGUAGAAUCAGA